Molecule: non-coding RNA, 29 nt
Filed under: Mus musculus (house mouse)
Lineage: Eukaryota; Metazoa; Chordata; Mammalia; Rodentia; Muridae
Source: RNAcentral
UGGGAGAACUAAGAAAGAAAGGUGCUGGG